AACGAACGCUGGCGGCGCGCCUAAUACAUGCAAGUCGAACGAGAAGGUGUAGCAAUACACUUGUACAGUGGCGAACGGGUGAGGAAUGCAUGGGCAACCUACCCUCGAGUGGGGAAUAACCAGCCGAAAGGUUGGCUAAUACCGCGUACGCUUCCGGGUCUCCGGAUCCGGAAGGAAAGUCACACCGUGGGUGUGACGCUCAAGGAUGGGCUCAUGUCCUAUCAGCUUGNGGUGAGGUAACGGCUCACCAAGGCAACGACGGGUAGCUGGUCUGAGAGGACGAUCAGCCACACUGGGCACUGCGACACGGGCCAGACUCCUACGGGAGGCAGCAGUAAGGAAUAUUGCGCAAUGGGCGAAAGCCUGACGCAGCGACGCCGCGUGGGGGAUGAAGGUCUUCGGAUUGUAAACCCC
This 414-nucleotide ribosomal RNA is filed under the name uncultured bacterium. RNAcentral describes it as "bacterial SSU rRNA". It matches the Rfam family "Bacterial small subunit ribosomal RNA", at positions 29 to 433 of the family's 1533-position model. The record is from RNAcentral.